Molecule: ribosomal RNA, 253 nt
Filed under: uncultured bacterium
Lineage: Bacteria
Description: partial 16S ribosomal RNA
Rfam family: Bacterial small subunit ribosomal RNA
Source: RNAcentral
UACGAACUGCGCAAACGUUAUUCGGAAUCACUGGGCUUACAGGGUGCGUAGGCGGCCGAUCAGGUCCGAUGUGAAAUCCCACAGCUCAACUGUGGAAUGGCAUUGGAAACCGACCGGCUUGAGUGGGCUAGAGGUGCACGGAACUUCCGGUGGAGCGGUGAAAUGUGUUGAGAUCGGAAGGAACACCAGAGGCGAAAGCGGUGCACUGGAGCUUGUCUGACGCUGAGGCACGAAAGCCAGGGGAGCGAACGGG